This 301-nucleotide ribosomal RNA is filed under the name uncultured bacterium. Its description in RNAcentral is "partial 16S ribosomal RNA". It matches the Rfam family "Bacterial small subunit ribosomal RNA", at positions 509 to 809 of the family's 1533-position model. The record is from RNAcentral.
CAGUAGCCGCGGUAAUUCGUAGGUGGCAAGCGUUGUCCGGAAUUAUUGGGCGUAAAGCGCGCGCAGGCGGAUAGGUCAGUCUGUCUUAAAAGUUCGGGGCUUAACCCCGUGAUGGGAUGGAAACUGCCAAUCUAGAGUAUCGGAGAGGAAAGUGGAAUUCCUAGUGUAGCGGUGAAAUGCGUAGAUAUUAGGAAGAACACCAGUGGCGAAGGCGACUUUCUGGACGAAAACUGACGCUGAGGCGCGAAAGCCAGGGGAGCGAACGGGAUUAGAUACCCCUGUAGUCCCUGUCUCUUAUACA